Molecule: long non-coding RNA, 390 nt
Filed under: Coffea arabica (coffee)
Lineage: Eukaryota; Viridiplantae; Streptophyta; Magnoliopsida; Gentianales; Rubiaceae
Description: long non-coding RNA (CARA_LNC002960)
Source: RNAcentral
GGGGAAAUUUCUCUUCAAACGUUGAGUGGUGCCAAUCACAUUAAUUGUGAAGCCCAAUAACGAUCUUUUGAAGAAGUCACGAAUAAUGCGAGUGGGAAGCAAAUGAAUGGAAUGCAUGUAUGUAAUGUGAGGACAUGAGUUUGAAAAAAUAAUAAAAAAAAACAAAAAAUAUGUAAAUGAAAAUGUGCACGUGAGUGGGCAAGGUACGGUAUAUGCAAUGAUAAUAUGAAGUGCAUGUGUGCAAGUGAUGAUAAAAGUGUUCGUGUGCAAGUGAAGAAACAUAAAGGUGCACGUGUGCAAAGUGGGAGGAAAAAUGAAAGUGUGAUGAGGGUAUAAAAUGGUAGAGUGGAUUUAAAAAUGCAUGAGCCUAGGGAAUUCAUGCAUAUUGGG